UUUUACCAAAGUUGGCCAUGACAAUUUUAUAAACACACAUAAUAUUUUAACACAUGUUGAUACCGAUUUUAGCGUGAUGAUUAUAAUAGUGGUUGGAGUUAACUUGUCUUUGAAUAAGAAUAACAUCAGAGAAUCGAGCUGGAAGAUAAACAGCCAGACAGGGUCACUGUGCAGAUGAUGUCAAGGAAUAUAUGAACUUAUUGAGAAGAAGUUUAAUAACCUAGUGUACACCAACCCAGCAGUAAACUCUUAGCCUCUCUGCUCAAUGCCUGCACUAUACGAGGAAGAAUUAGAAAUCUGUGAAAAAGGCAAUAUUCCUGUCUAUCACACCUGCAGAUUCAGCAAUGCCAACAAUAUGUGACUAAUAACAGCUCAUAUUACACCUAGUUGCUGUAAAAUUUUCAAAUCACGAGCAGUCUAUGAUAAUAUGCUGCAACAAUGAUAAAUUUACGAUUUAGCAGCCGCAAGACCUCACUCAUAUUUAUGGAAAAGGUUUAAAUGUAUAAGACACUUAACCUAUAUUCCUUUUAUAAUGAAACUUGUUUUUAUAAUUUUUAUUCCAUUCUGACAUUAUAUGUCAACUUAGAAUAAUUGCAUGCAUUUUUAAUUUUUAAAACGGAUACCAUGGUAACCACAACGUUUUAAUUAAUGCCAUGCAACUUACUCUUUAACAUUGAUGUUUAUUGAAUGUAUUGUGGUUUAAUAGGUUUUAAGAUAGCAAUGUGUAACAUUAAUUAUCCAAUUAAGGUAGUGCACCUCUAAUGGGCACAUAUCCAAAUAUAAUUUAAUUAAUUAUUUUCCUAAUCAGCAUCAUUUCACUGAACUACAUGCACAUUUGUAGGUAGGCUUUCCAUGCUUUAAAAAAAAAAUAUACCGAUUUUUUUUCAAAACCACCCUCACGCUCGGCUUUUGUCCAAUUUAUUUUCACCCCUGGGGUAUAUAAAAGUUCCAUAAUUCAUUCAAAUUUCCAAAUAUGGACAUGCAGUUGGUGUGUACAGAUGCAGUAAAGGUGUUUAAAGUUUAAACAAGAUGAAAUAAGUAUUAUUUUACAGACAUUUAUUUUUUACAAAUUUUAAUCUUUGGAAUAUCGCCAUGAAAUGUAAGUGAUUUCAGCCAAGUAAAAAUUGGGUCGGUUAAAAACAAAGUGUCAUAAAAAUUCAAAAUAGUAUCAUUUAAGUUAUAUUUUAAACUAAGUUUUUAUAGAAACACUAUAUACAGCAAAAAUACCAAAAAAAUAGACAGAUUUACCGUUUACUUUUUGAAAUAAAAAUAAAAAUGCAACAUGCAUCAUUCGUAUGUUCAGCAGUAAAUUAAUCAAUUUAGCCAUAACGUUGUUUAAAUUUUAAAAUUGAAGGAUGUGCAUACAAUUUUCAACAUAUUUAACAAUAAACAUAGCUUAUGUGAUUUAUUAAAUCAAAUUACGUUAGAACAGAAAUAAAACGCGUCGAAAAAAGUCGAUGUCGGCAGGAAUCGAACCUGCGCGGGAAGAUCCCAAAAGAUUUCUAGUCCAUCGCCUUAUCCACUCGGCCAUGACAACUUCACAUUAGUGCAACCUUAAAUUAGAUAUACAUAAGUAAACAGGUAAAAAGGCUCGCUCGAUCUGUGAAGAAAACGCGAAAUCGUAUUUUUCAGAUGAUAAUUGGAUCAAAGUCAAAAUUUAUAGUGAAAAUAAUGUAUUCUAAAUGCAUAAGUUAAACAUAUAUCAAAAUUCGAAGUUUGAAAAAAAUAAAAUGUAUCUCUCGGAAAAAAGCGAUCAUUGAAGAUCGGCAAUGAUCGUAAAAUAAAUCGCGGGAAAUCAUUAGAGGUGCGCUACCUUAAAUAAACAUUGGAGAAAACAGUGAAAAUUACGUUUGUCUAUAUAUGUACUUAAUUAUGGGAACUGUUUUUAACUCUUUAUAAAUGUAUAUUAUCACUGAAUUACUAUAAUAUCUACAUUGCUAUGAGAUUAAACAUGCAAUUUGUAAUUACAUUGCAUAUUUAUGUUUUCAAGGUUUAAUAAACUUAAUAUUUAA
Long non-coding RNA from Dreissena polymorpha, 2012 nucleotides. RefSeq lists it as uncharacterized. The transcript is spliced from 2 exons. NCBI's taxonomy places the organism in Eukaryota, Metazoa, Mollusca, Bivalvia, Myida, Dreissenidae. The record is from RefSeq and is a predicted model, not a curated record.